RNAcentral lists this ribosomal RNA (301 nucleotides) under uncultured bacterium. Its description in RNAcentral is "partial 16S ribosomal RNA". It matches the Rfam family "Bacterial small subunit ribosomal RNA", at positions 509 to 809 of the family's 1533-position model. The record is from RNAcentral.
CAGUAGCCGCGGUAAUACGUAGGUGGCAAGCGUUGUCCGGAAUUAUUGGGCGUAAAGGGCUCGCAGGCGGUUUCUUAAGUCUGAUGUGAAAGCCCCCGGCUCAACCGGGGAGGGUCAUUGGAAACUGGGAAACUUGAGUGCAGAAGAGGAAAGUGGAAUUCCAUGUGUAGCGGUGAAAUGCGCAGAGAUAUGGAGGAACACCAGUGGCGAAGGCGACUUUCUGGUCUGUAACUGACGCUGAUGUGCGAAAGCGUGGGGAUCAAACAGGAUUAGAUACCCGUGUAGUCCCUGUCUCUUAUAA